Molecule: ribosomal RNA, 253 nt
Filed under: uncultured bacterium
Lineage: Bacteria
Description: partial 16S ribosomal RNA
Rfam family: Bacterial small subunit ribosomal RNA
Source: RNAcentral
UACGUAGGGUGCGAGCGUUGUCCGGAAUUAUUGGGCGUAAAGAGCUUGUAGGCGGUCUGUCGCGUCUGCUGUGAAAAUCCGGGGCUCAACCCCGGACUUGCAGUGGGUACGGGCAGACUAGAGUGUGGUAGGGGAGACUGGAAUUCCUGGUGUAGAGGUGAAAUUCGUAGAUAUCGGGAGGAACACCGGUGGCGAAGGCGGCCUGCUGGACAGCACCUGACACUGAGACGCGAAAGCGUGGGGAGCAAACAGG